RNAcentral lists this ribosomal RNA (253 nucleotides) under uncultured bacterium. RNAcentral describes it as "partial 16S ribosomal RNA". It matches the Rfam family "Bacterial small subunit ribosomal RNA", at positions 524 to 776 of the family's 1533-position model. The record is from RNAcentral.
GACAGAGGCCUCAAGCGUUAGGCGGAAUCACUGGGCUUAAAGCGUGUGUAGGCGGACUUCUAAGUGCCUUGUGAAAUCCCACGGCUCAACCGUGGAACUGCUGGGCAUACUGGGAGUCUUGGGCCAUUCAGGGGCAACUGGAACAAGCGGUGGAGCGGUGAAAUGCGUUGAUAUCGAUAGGAACUCCGGUGGCGAAGGCGGCAUACUGGACCACUUCUGACGCUGAGGCGCGAAAGCCAGGGGAGCAAACGGG